This 468-nucleotide ribosomal RNA is filed under the name uncultured bacterium. RNAcentral's name for it is "bacterial SSU rRNA". It matches the Rfam family "Bacterial small subunit ribosomal RNA", at positions 28 to 483 of the family's 1533-position model. The record is from RNAcentral.
GACGAACGCUGGCGGCGUGCCUAACACAUGCAAGUCGAACGGAGUGUUUCGCUGAAUUGAAGGAAGCUUGCUUCUGGAUUUUCUUGAAACACUUAGUGGCGGACGGGUGAGUAACGCGUGAGUAACCUGCCUUACAGAGGGGGACAACAGUUGGAAACGACUGCUAAUACCGCAUAACGUAUAACCGAGGCAUCUCGGAUAUACCAAAGGAGCAAUCCGCUGUAAGAUGGACUCGCGUCUGAUUAGAUAGUUGGUGGGUAACGGCCUACCAAGGCGACGAUCAGUAGCCGGACUGAGAGGUUGAACGGCCACAUUGGGACUGAGAUACGGCCCAGACUCCUACGGGAGGCAGCAGUGGGGAAUAUUGGGCAAUGGGGGAAACCCUGACCCAGCAACGCCGCGUGAAGGAGAAGGCUUUCGGGUUGUAAACGUUCUUUUACCAGGGACGAAGACGUGACGGUACCUGGA